Long non-coding RNA from Brassica napus (rape), 1523 nucleotides. RefSeq lists it as uncharacterized. The transcript is spliced from 5 exons. NCBI's taxonomy places the organism in Eukaryota, Viridiplantae, Streptophyta, Magnoliopsida, Brassicales, Brassicaceae. The record is from RefSeq and is a predicted model, not a curated record.
UCUACGUAAAAUGAAAAAAUCGACCAAUAGGAAAACUCAAUUUUGACACGUCCUCUAAAAACAUUAGAACGGAGUCUAAUCUACUGAACUUCCAAAAUGUAUAUUGGGUCAUCUAAUUUAAAGCCCACAGCCCUUCAAACAGCUUUGACUCUUCCACCUCCUUCAUCGCUUCAAUCUCUUUCAUCCGUAACUAUCGUAAACCUCCGUUUAGGUUUAGUUAACACCACCCACUACUCCUCAUUCAAUUCCAUCCUUUAAUCAUAUCUUCAUGAGAGAACCUAUAUCCUUUCACCUCCCUUUGCUUCUCAUGUUUUAUAAACCUCUUCCUCGAGUCUCACCUUGAUCCAAUUUUUAUAACCUCCAUUCAACCAAAUCAAACAAUAGCAGUGAAAUCUGAUCAAAUCUCCGGCAAGUUUCCAGUGGCCCCACAUUUUAACAUCUCACGUACUCAAAGUUAUGAGCUGGAAAGCCGAAAGCCCUUGAAUGAUGUCCUCCCCUGCUAAGUUCUGAUGCGGCCAAGUUCUCGAAGAAAGAUCUCACUAUCUCAGGCCCUCCGCAUGAUUACUUUUACCGGGUAAUAUAGGUUUCUUUAUACGAAAUACAAGAGCAGUCUAGAUUUUAUCUAUCUUAUGGAUUUUCACUUAGGGUGGACGGUCUCAAUUUCUUUGAAUAGGGUAAACAUAUUCUUUACGUGUCUUUUAAACAAGCAUCUGGUCAUUCAACUACAUGUCAAGUUUUCACUUAGGGUGGACAUUCUACUUUCUGGAUGCGUCAUCCUCCGCUGAUUUUUUGGAGCGAUGAAUAAUUGGGAUGAUACAUUUGUUCCAGAGACCAGUUUCUGAAGAGAAAACUAACAAAGGAAUGGAAUUGAUCGAAUGAUGCACACGAGCAGCUUGGGAGAAGGAAGCAUGCAUGUUGAACUUCAGAUUUUCUGAUGGAGUUCAGAGUACUUUAAAAAAGGAUGGCAGUAACUUAAUUCCUCUCUGCGAGCAAAGAGCAUCAAAGUUAGAAAACUCUGAGGAUGUACGAACUUCUGUGUACAGUAAGGUCAUAUUUCAAACAAAUCUAUGACUGGAGUUUGUCGUCAGAGCUACCGAGUUUCUAAUCUUCCUGGUAUUUUUAUUGUAUAGGCACUAGGCAGAGAUAAUAUUUUUACCAUAAUUUUUGUCGCCAGACCAAUUCGUUUAAGGAGGAGAUUUAGAUUCUAUAUGGAACCGUAACGAAAACUCAGCAUCGCGUCUUUAACUGUUAUCAUUUUUAUUCAAAACGUCGUAGCCUUUUUGUGACUAACAAAUAGACAAGCCAAGCAGUUCAACUUCCAAGGUCUAAAAUAAAACAGCUCAUUAGUCAUUAGUUUCUUCGUACUGAUUUUAUGGCGGAAAAUAUAAAAUGUUAUGAUCAUAUUUUUGAUUAGUUUAUUUAUCCAUUGUCAUAGUUUAAUCUCUUAGUUCAAUUUUGUAUAACACUACAAUUCAUGGACUGUUUAGUUGCAGUUCGAUAAAACUGAACAAGUUAUUCUUUCA